GAUGAACGCUGGCGGCGUGCCUAAUACAUGCAAGUCGAGCGAACGGACGAGAAGCUUGCUUCUCUGAUGUUAGCGGCGGACGGGUGAGUAACACGUGGAUAACCUACCUAUAAGACUGGGAUAACUUCGGGAAACCGGAGCUAAUACCUGAUAAUAUUUUGAACCGCAUGGUUCAAAAGUGAAAGACGGUCUUGCUGUCACUUAUAGAUGGAUCCGCGCUGCAUUAGCUAGUUGGUAAGGUAACGGCUUACCAAGGCAACGAUGAAUAGCCGACCUGAGAGGGUGAUCAGCCACACUGGAACUGAGACACGGUCCAGACUCCUACGGGAGGCAGCAGUAGGGAAUCUUCCGCAAUGGGCGAAAGCCUGACGGAGCAACGCCGCGUGAGUGAUGAAGGUCUUCGGAUCGUAAAGCACUGUUAUUAGGGAAGAAAAUAUGUGUAAGAAACUGUGCACAUCUUGACGGUACCUAAUCAGAAAGCCACGGCUAACUACGUG
RNAcentral lists this ribosomal RNA (497 nucleotides) under uncultured bacterium. RNAcentral's name for it is "partial 16S ribosomal RNA". It matches the Rfam family "Bacterial small subunit ribosomal RNA", at positions 28 to 507 of the family's 1533-position model. The record is from RNAcentral.